GGACGUGAGGGUAAUCUGGCUGUGACACUGAUCGCCAGGCUUGAUUCAGCUGAUCUUGCUGGAUAGGCGGAUAUCCCCUUCCUUCCUCACCGCUCAUAUGCGUCCCUCUUGAAGCUGCUCUCAGUACAAGAGGAUGACCUUCCCCAGUAGAGACCGGCUAGAACCUCUCAA
Molecule: small nuclear RNA, 171 nt
Filed under: Erinaceus europaeus (western European hedgehog)
Lineage: Eukaryota; Metazoa; Chordata; Mammalia; Eulipotyphla; Erinaceidae
Description: 7SK RNA
Rfam family: 7SK RNA
About the family: 7SK was discovered as an abundant small nuclear RNA in the mid-70s but a possible function has only recently been suggested.
Source: Rfam by way of RNAcentral